Molecule: long non-coding RNA, 969 nt
Filed under: Nicotiana benthamiana
Lineage: Eukaryota; Viridiplantae; Streptophyta; Magnoliopsida; Solanales; Solanaceae
Description: long non-coding RNA (NBEN_LNC010764)
Source: RNAcentral
UUAAUUCCAAGCUACUACCCUAAUCCCUCAUUUCCCAUCUCUCAGUUGCCAUUGAAAACCUCUCGUCUCUCAAAGUCUCUCAAACUGCGAAACCCAAGCCUCCUUCUACACGCUUCAACCACCACUCCACCUUAAUCCAUGGCUUCCCAGGCCAUGGAUGCUUUGUACUCACUCCCCUUCACCAGCAAGCCAUGGUUGUUCGAAGCUUCGAGACCUGACCUCAAUGGUUCUCUCCAAGACCUUUUCAGAUAUGUAGAUCUAUGGCUUCUUCGUCUAUUACUCUGGCAUAUUUGAGCAAUAUGAGUCUUUUCGACUCAUGAUCUGAAUUUCCUCAAGACCUUUCUCAUUUUUAGGGGUUUCUCCAUAAUCGUAAGUUCUCCGAGGUUGUUUACUUGCUCAUUUUCUUAGAUCCAGAAAAUAUCUGUGUUCUAUCAAACUUUUUAAGGGUUUUCCCCAAGCUCUCUUUUCAAAAUCAUUUAAUUUCGAUUUAGGGUUUCUUAAAGGUUUUUCAAAAGUAUCUUUCUGAUUCUUCUUUACGUGUGUUUGUCUGACUUCUUUUACUAGCAUGUAUUGUUCUUCCGCUUUCUUUUUCUACUCUACAUGUUAUUCCUGCACUCACAAGUUAAUCUGUGAUGUUUUCUUUAUUCAUUGCUAUAUGUGUUUAUGGUUGAGUUCUCUGAUUUUGUUUACUUUAACAGGACUCUGUUUGUGUUCUUGCCAAGCAUAUUUCAUCUACGUUUGUUAAGGUCAUAUCAUCUCUUUCUUCUAAACUUGUUUAAUUUUUGAGUUUUCUCAAACAUGUUCUCAUGACUUUGAAUCAGUUUUAUUUCUAUCAUGUAUGUUAGUUUUUUUAUACGUCUUUGGAAAAGACUUUUGAGCAUCUCUCAAGUGGCUUGACUUCUCAUCUCUAUUGUCUGACUCAAUUCAGAACCCUAGGAUUUGGGGAUUUUUGGAAAUUUUUAUUUCUUG